GGUUGUGGCUCAGUGGUAGCGCGCUUGCCUAGCAUGUGUGAGGCACUGGGUUUGAUUCUCAGCACCA
Molecule: transfer RNA, 67 nt
Filed under: Marmota monax (woodchuck)
Lineage: Eukaryota; Metazoa; Chordata; Mammalia; Rodentia; Sciuridae
Description: tRNA.Ala
Source: RNAcentral